AAGUCCCAACGUCUGAAUACUGAUAUGAAGAGUAGAUACUAUUUUUAUUGGUUCUCUAUCUUUAACCUAUGACAAGUUGCAAUAAAUUCUUUUCCUCAAUUUGCUCUCCUACUUUUCUAGAUGUGACAUGCACCACAAAAUUAUCCCGGUAAAUUAAAAUUUGGAAUUUAUGGGCUCGCGAUACAUUGACUAUCCUUGUUAUGUUAUCCACAAGUUAUCUGGGUAACUAGCCUGAUGUAGUUUGAGGACCUAUACAAGCAUGUGUUUAGUCCAACAUUGGUUAUUUGCUCGGUAGAUAUUGGAUACUUAUACAGGAUAAAGAAACUCAAAUAAUACCUUUCGGCUAGUCUUUUUGAGUAAGGUCUUGGGUUAUAACAAAUGGUAUUAGAGCGGACCCAGCCUAUGGCCUAUGUGGACUAGAGGACACUGCAACAUGGAUAUAUUUGAGCUGACCAUGAGCUAAUCGUGGUGUUUGUGAUUGGAUUUGGAUUUUUAGCCUGGCGAGGACGUUAGGGCUUAAACGAGCGUAGUAUGUGAUGAUCCGUGUUGGCGUGUGUUUAGUCUCACAUCAGUUAUUUGCUAGGUAGAUCUUGAGUACUUAUAUAAGAUCAAUGAACCCAAAUAAUAUCUUUCGACUAGCCUUUUUGGGUGAAGUCUUGAGUUGUGAUUAAUGGUAUCAACUUGUGAGUUAUGGGUCCACCAUGCUUCCGCUGCCCCACUCUGAUAAUAUAUAAGUACCCAAGAUCCUGAGACUUAUGGAUUAAUCAUAACCCAGAACCUUACCCAAAAAGGCUAAUCAAAAAGUAUUAUUUGGGUUCUUUGAUUCUAUAUAAUUACUCAAGAUCUAUCCAGCGAAUAACUGAUGUGGAACUAAAUACACGCCUGCAUAGGUCAUCACAUGAGGCUGGUUAAAAACAGCAGGGGUGCUUUUGUUGGCAAGUUGGCAUAUCUAAUUCUUUGUGAUGUUUCUUUUAUCAUUCUUGUAACUCAAUAGUUAUUAUGAUUUUAUUCUUCAUGAAGUUAAAGUUGAUUGUUAUGGAGUCCAUCAUCAGUAUAAAUCUAAAGAUUUUGGGAUUUAAUUGAAAUGUUU
RNAcentral lists this long non-coding RNA (1090 nucleotides) under Phoenix dactylifera (date palm). RNAcentral's name for it is "long non-coding RNA (PDAC_LNC015970)". The record is from RNAcentral. Lineage: Eukaryota; Viridiplantae; Streptophyta; Magnoliopsida; Arecales; Arecaceae.